ACCUACGGGGCGCAGCAGUGAGGAAUAUUGGUCAAUGGGCUUACGCCUGAACCAGCCAAGUCGCGUGAGGGAAGACUGCCCUAUGGGUUGUAAACCUCUUUUGUCGGAGAACAAAACCCGGGACGAGUCCCGGACUGCGUGUAUCCGAAGAAAAAGCUCCGGCUAACUACGUGCCAGCACCCGCGGUAAUACGUAGGGAGCGAGCGUUGUCCGGAAUUACUGGGUGUAAAGGGAGCGUAGGCGGGACGGCAAGUCAGAUGUGAAAACUGAGGGAUCAACCUUCAGACCGCAUUUGAAACUGCUGU
Molecule: ribosomal RNA, 305 nt
Filed under: uncultured bacterium
Lineage: Bacteria
Description: bacterial SSU rRNA
Rfam family: Bacterial small subunit ribosomal RNA
Source: RNAcentral